GGGAUGUUAUGUGUAGCAGGAAUUGAAUUGUGCAUCUCUCCCAAAUGAUGGGAAAAUCACUCCCCAUGAAGGUGAGGCUGUGGAAGGAAUCAAAGAACGGCACAAACAGCACUACAAAUAAAGGUGAUGCCAACCUGAGAUUUGCUACUGGUGUCUUCACUCUCCUGUUCCCUUUGCCCAGGAUUACAGUCCUCAGUCAUCAGAAAACACUUCUGGGAACACAAGAAGUUUCUUCACUUCAAGAAACGAUCAAGAUGUGCAAUAAUGGAAAAUCUCUGAAACAAGAGAAAACAGGUUUGACUUUGCUCCACUGUACUGUCUACACAUGUACUGAAGCAGGUAAUUUAGAUUGUUUUAG
This is a non-coding RNA of Taeniopygia guttata (zebra finch), 358 nucleotides long. The record is from RefSeq and is a predicted model, not a curated record. Lineage: Eukaryota; Metazoa; Chordata; Aves; Passeriformes; Estrildidae.